Molecule: ribosomal RNA, 1158 nt
Filed under: Heyndrickxia coagulans
Lineage: Bacteria; Bacillati; Bacillota; Bacilli; Caryophanales; Bacillaceae
Also listed under: 2 other names
Description: bacterial SSU rRNA
Rfam family: Bacterial small subunit ribosomal RNA
Source: RNAcentral
CUUGCUUUUAAAAGGUUAGCGGCGGACGGGUGAGUAACACGUGGGCAACCUGCCUGUAAGACUGGGAUAACGCCGGGAAACCGGGGCUAAUACCAGAUAGUUUUUUCCUCCGCAUGGAGGAAAAAGGAAAGGCGGCUUCGGCUGCCACUUACAGAUGGGCCCGCGGCGCAUUAGCUAGUUGGCGGGGUAACGGCCCACCAAGGCAACGAUGCGUAGCCGACCUGAGAGGGUGAUCGGCCACAUUGGGACUGAGACACGGCCCAAACUCCUACGGGAGGCAGCAGUAGGGAAUCUUCCGCAAUGGACGAAAGUCUGACGGAGCAACGCCGCGUGAGUGAAGAAGGCCUUCGGGUCGUAAAACUCUGUUGCCGGGGAAGAACAAGUGCCGUUCGAACAGGGCGGCGCCUUGACGGUACCCGGCCAGAAAGCCACGGCUAACUACGUGCCAGCAGCCGCGGUAAUACGUAGGUGGCAAGCGUUGUCCGGAAUUAUUGGGCGUAAAGCGCGCGCAGGCGGCUUCUUAAGUCUGAUGUGAAAUCUUGCGGCUCAACCGCAAGCGGUCAUUGGAAACUGGGAGGCUUGAGUGCAGAAGAGGAGAGUGGAAUUCCACGUGUAGCGGUGAAAUGCGUAGAGAUGUGGAGGAACACCAGUGGCGAAGGCGGCUCUCUGGUCUGUAACUGACGCUGAGGCGCGAAAGCGUGGGGAGCAAACAGGAUUAGAUACCCUGGUAGUCCACGCCGUAAACGAUGAGUGCUAAGUGUUAGAGGGUUUCCGCCCUUUAGUGCUGCAGCUAACGCAUUAAGCACUCCGCCUGGGGAGUACGGCCGCAAGGCUGAAACUCAAAGGAAUUGACGGGGGCCCGCACAAGCGGUGGAGCAUGUGGUUUAAUUCGAAGCAACGCGAAGAACCUUACCAGGUCUUGACAUCCUCUGACCUCCCUGGAGACAGGGCCUUCCCCUUCGGGGGACAGAGUGACAGGUGGUGCAUGGUUGUCGUCAGCUCGUGUCGUGAGAUGUUGGGUUAAGUCCCGCAACGAGCGCAACCCUUGACCUUAGUUGCCAGCAUUGAGUUGGGCACUCUAAGGUGACUGCCGGUGACAAACCGGAGGAAGGUGGGGAUGACGUCAAAUCAUCAUGCCCCUUAUGACCUGGGCUACAC